GCCGGCCUCUACUUGACUCUUUUCUCUCUCUUCUCAGUGAUGCCUCAAACUGUGUUAUAGAUUCCCUUCAGAACCAGCUUUUUCCCUUUGAAGCUCACAGCAUCGACAAGUUUGUUAGCUGUUAGCCUGUUACAAUCAAUGGCACACAGAAAAAGGCGUUUAGAUCAACUCAAGAAUCCAUUCAGUUCUCACCCCUUUGAAGCAGUUGCCUUUGGCUCAUGGCAAGCUGUGGAGUUCAUAAAAGUUGAGGGAGGAACACUGUCCAUGCAUUUUGUAGAUAAUUAUCAUAUGGCUAUGGAGAAAGGACCCGUGUCAGACAUUCGGAUAAGGUCAAGGAAGGCUACUUUAUCAGAUUGCUCCCGAUUUUUACGUCCUGGAAUUGACGUAUGUGUACUAUCAGCUCCUCAACAAUCUGAUGAUUCAGAUGCAAUUAAUGUGGACCCUGUUUGGGCUGAUGCUAAAAUAAGUUCUGUACAAAGAAAACCUCAUGACUCUGAGUGCUCUUGUCAGUUUUAUGUGAACUUCUAUGUUCAUCAAGGUUCACUUGGUGCAGAGCUAAGAAGUCUAAGCAAGGAGAUUAAAGUUGUUGGAAUCAAUCAAAUAUCCAUCCUACAAAAACUUGAACACAUUCCUUGUGAAGGUCAGCACCACAGGUGGGAUUCAUCUGAGGACUGCUCUAUAAUAUCACAUACUAAAUUGCUUCUGGGAAAAGUGUUAUGUGAUCUUUCAUGGUUAGUUGUUACUUCAGUUAUAAGGAAGGUUUCAUUCUGUGUGAGAUCUCUUGAAGACAAGCUUGUGUAUCAAAUUUUGGGAAGAGAUUCUGUUAGCACUUCAUUGGACAAUGCAUCUCACAUUGCUGUUGUGAGUUUCAAAACAGAGAAUGGCCUGUUAGUGCCUAUUGUUUCUGAAUUAGCUACACCAAAAACCAAAAGGAUUGAUCUUGUUCAGGAAUCCAAUGAAGAUAAAGUAUCACCAUCUUAUAAUGUUGAGGGAUUAAGGCGUUCCAAGCGCCGGAAUGUGCAGCCUGAGCGCUACCUUGGUUGCAACAAUGUAUCCGAGAUUGAUGUUGGUUCUUUUAGAAACAGACCACCAGUUAAGAUAGACACUUGGAAGGAUGAUGAUGAUGAUGAUGAACUGCAUAUACCAUUAGCAUGCCUGUUUGGUUUGCAGCAAAACUGUCUAGAAGAGAAUACUGAUCAUCAUCAAAGGGUAAGGAAGGUGAGUGCUUGCCGGGAGCUUGUGGUGUACAGUAGAAAGAGGCCUAAAAUCCGGAAGGUAAAGUCAGGAGAUGAUGCUCAAAGUGAACAUCAAAAUCAUCUUGCAAUUAUUCCUCUUCCUGAUCAAGAUGAUCCAGUAGCCAUUGAGCAUGGUGAUCUAAACGAGAAGGUUACUAGAAGUUAUGGUCAUGAAUCCUCUGAAAUUUCUUCCAAAUAUUAUCAUCUAACUUGUAGUGGUACCCCUAAAUCAAAGAGUAAUGAUAUUAAAUUGUUAACUCUUGAGCCUCAUAAUCAUACAACAAAGCCAGAGGAUGCAGAGAAGACUGAUGAUUUGUCAUUGAGAUAUAAUAAUUAUAGUUAUGGCGCCCCUAAGUCACAGAGGAAGAAUUUGUGUGGUCUGGAUGAUAUGGUGGAUCUUGGAAACAAAUGGGAAGGGAUCAAUUCCAAUAAAGGAGCUUAUGGGAAAAAACCUCGUAUAACAUAUUUAAGAAGUAAGAAUCAUGAAGAAGAAAGAAGAUACCAUUAUAAAGACAGAACCUUAAAUGCAGCUGCCUACAAGGAUUUGAUAAAUUCUUACUUAAAGAAUAUUAAUACAAAACCAUCCAAUGAAGAACCAUCUAUUGCUGACCAGUGGAAGCAAAGCAACACAACUAGCAACACUGACCAAAAGAUUGAAGAAGAGAUACUGGAUGAAGAGGAUGCGGAAGAAGUAUCUGAAAUGGAUAUGUUGUGGAGAGAACUGGAAGUGUCAUUGGCAUCAAGUUAUCUAGAAGACACAGAGGAUUUAAAUACUGUUGUUCUCAAUGAGACUACAGAAAAGCCGAAUGAAGGUUGUCCACAUGAUUUCAGAUUGAAUGAAGAAAUUGGAAUUUACUGCUAUAGAUGCGGCCUUGUGAGCACUGAGAUCAAAUAUAUUACACCACCCUUUAUUCAACAUUCAGUGUGUCACCAAGAGGAGAAACAAAGUGCUGAAGAAGAUUCAAGGACUAAGGCUGAUGAAGAGGAUGACUAUGAUCUUUUCCCAAAUCUUGUUUCUCCUGAGGAACCUAUGUCUGAAGAAAAUGACAACGUUUGGUCAUUAAUUCCUGAACUUAGAGAAAAGUUGCAUGCCCACCAAAAGAAAGCUUUUGAGUUUCUUUGGCAAAACAUUGCAGGGUCCAUGGAUCCAGGACUUAUGGAAGCAUCAUCCAAAAGAAGAGGUGGCUGUGUGAUAUCUCAUUCUCCUGGAGCUGGAAAAACUUUUCUCAUCAUUGCUUUUCUUGUUAGCUACUUGAAGUUAUUCCCAGGGAAGAGGCCUCUAGUCCUUGCUCCAAAAACAACACUCUAUACUUGGUACAAAGAAUUUAUCAAGUGGAAUAUUCCUAUACCAGUGUAUCUGAUUCAUGGUCGUAGAACCUACAGGGUAUUCAAGCAGAAAUCAAUGGCUGUUAUUCCUGGAGUUCCCAAGCCCACUGAUGAUGUCAAACAUGUUUUGGAUUGUCUCGAGAAGAUACAAAAAUGGCAUUCACAUCCGAGUGUUCUCAUCAUGGGUUAUACUUCAUUUUUAACAUUGAUGCGAGAGGAUUCAAAGUUUGCUCACAGAAAAUACAUGGCUAAGGUAUUGAGGGAAAGCCCUGGGAUCAUGGUGUUGGAUGAAGGGCACAAUCCAAGAAGCACUAAAUCUAGGUUGAGAAAAGUUCUGAUGAAAGUACAAACUGAUUUGAGAAUACUUCUUUCUGGUACAUUGUUUCAGAACAAUUUUUGUGAAUACUUCAACACUUUGUGCUUGGCAAGACCAAAGUUUAUUAAUGAAGUACUGAAAGCACUAGACCUUAAAUACAGGAGGAAAGGGAAAGUAGCAAAGAAAGCACGUCAUUUAUUGGAGUCACGAGCUAGAAAAUUCUUCUUAGACAAAAUUGCCAAGAAAAUUGACUCAAAUAAUGGUAGGGAGAGGCAACAGGGUCUAAAAAUGUUGAGGAAUGUGACAAAUGGUUUCAUAGAUGUUUAUGAAGGUGGUAGUUCUGAUGGUCUACCUGGCUUGCAAAUUUAUACAUUGCUCAUGAAUUCAACUGAUACACAGCAUGAGAUUUUGCAGAAGCUGCACAAAAAAAUGGCCAAGUGCAAUGGAUACCCUUUAGAGUUAGAACUGUUGAUAACUCUUGGUUCAAUACAUCCUUGGUUGGUCAAAACAGCUGUAUGUGCUGAGAAGUUUUUCUCUCAGGAGCAAUUGAUGGAGCUAGAGAAAUGCAAAUUUGAUCUAAAAAUGGGGUCCAAAGUAAGAUUUGUUUUGAGCCUUAUCUACCGUGUUGUCAAGAAGGAGAAGGUUCUCAUAUUCUGCCACAAUAUUGCACCUGUGAGGUUAUUUAUGGAAUAUUUUGAGAAGUACUUUGGAUGGCAAAAGGGUAGGGAAGUGUUGGUGCUAACCGGGGAACUAGAACUCUUUGAAAGAGGGAGAGUAAUGGAUAAGUUUGAGGAGCCUGGUGGGGUGUCAAAGAUACUCCUUGCUUCAAUCACAGCUUGUGCUGAAGGCAUUAGUUUAACUGCUGCUUCUCGUGUGAUCAUGUUGGACUCAGAAUGGAACCCUUCAAAAACAAAGCAAGCUAUUGCACGAGCCUUUCGUCCUGGUCAGCAGAAAGUGGUUUAUGUGUAUCAGCUCUUGGUGACAGGUUCAUUGGAGGAGGAUAAGUACCGAAGAACCACUUGGAAAGAGUGGGUGUCAAGCAUGAUCUUUAGUGAGGCAUUUGUGGAGGACCCUUCCCAGUGGCAAGCUGAGAAGAUUGAAGAUGAUAUACUGAGGGAGAUGGUUGCUGAGGACAAGUCUAAAUCAUUUCAUAUGAUCAUGAAGAAUGAAAAAGCUUCUUCUACCAACAAAUAAAGGUCUCACAAAUAACAAAGGCAUCACCAAAUCUCGGAACAAAAGUGAUUUUCCAAAAAGGGAUAAAUUAUUAGGUGAAGCUUAACGUGGGAAGCAGCAAGAGCAUCAAUAAAGGCCCAAACCCACAUCUUAACAAGUUUCUUUAUGAAAUGCCCAAUAAGCUUUUUUCUUUUUCAAAAAUUAUUUAUUUGGGCAAAUUAUCAAUUUGGUAUAUUGGAGGUUUGUGUUAGGUUAGGGGAUAGGUAGUGGUGGAGGAUCGAAAUUCCAACAUCAUGAUUAAGUCAGUCCAAAAAGAUGGGACUGAUGCCAAUUGAGUUACAUAGGUGUUGCCAAAUGUUCAAAAAUUAGUAUAAAAAAAUUUGUUCAAAAAAUUUAAUCUCUUCCAGCUUUGAUGAAGGUGAGAUUUAAUUC
This is an RNA transcript of Cajanus cajan (pigeon pea), 4482 nucleotides long. It is a transcript of the gene named SNF2 domain-containing protein CLASSY 2, with no coding region annotated. The record is from RefSeq and is a predicted model, not a curated record. NCBI's taxonomy places the organism in Eukaryota, Viridiplantae, Streptophyta, Magnoliopsida, Fabales, Fabaceae.